UGGGGAAUAUUGCACAAUGGGUGAAACCCUGAUGCAGCGACGCCGCGUGAACGAAGAAGGUAUUCGUAUCGUAAAGUUCUGUCCUAUGGGAAGAUAAUGACAGUACCAUAGAAGAAAGCUCCGGCUAAAUACGUGCCAGCAGCCGCGGUAAUACGUAUGGAGCGAGCGUUGUCCGGAAUUAUUGGGCGUAAAGGGUACGCAGGCGGUUUAAUAAGUCGAAUGUUAAAGAUCGGGGCUCAACCCCGUAAAGCAUUGGAAACUGAUAAACUUGAGUAGUGGAGAGGAAAGUGGAAUUCCUAGUGUAGUGGUGAAAUACGUAGAUAUUAGGAGGAAUACCAGUAGCGAAGGCGACUUUCUGGACACAAACUGACGCUGAGGUACGAAAGCGUGGGGAGCAAACAGG
Molecule: ribosomal RNA, 403 nt
Filed under: bacterium
Lineage: Bacteria
Description: partial 16S ribosomal RNA
Rfam family: Bacterial small subunit ribosomal RNA
Source: RNAcentral